GGUUAUAUUUUAAGUAACCCCUGCUCACUGUCCCAUGAAGAGCUGCAGUACAACAACUGUACUAAGGUAGCAUAAUAAUUUGCCCUUUAAUUGGGGGCUCGAAUGAAAGGUCCGACGUAAUUCUCCCUCUCACUGUUAAUAUAAAAAAUUACAUUCAGGUAAAAAUACCUGAGUUCACCUAGAGGACGAUAAGACCCUAUAAAAUUUCACUUUUUUGAUAAAAGAUAGGUAAUAUAGCUCUAAAAGUUUCGCUGGGACGGCUAAAACAAGACAUCUAUUUUCAUCAAACCACUUAUUUGUGCCCCCAUGACCCGUAAAAGACCUUAAAUCAAAUUACUUUAGGGGUAACAGCGUAAUUUUUCUUAGAGCUCUAAUUGAAAGAAAAGAUUACGACCUCGAUGUUGAAUUAGGAAUACAGGAAGGUGCAAAAGCUUUCCAAG
Molecule: ribosomal RNA, 440 nt
Filed under: Leucon profundus
Lineage: Eukaryota; Metazoa; Arthropoda; Malacostraca; Cumacea; Leuconidae
Description: partial 16S ribosomal RNA
Rfam family: Archaeal large subunit ribosomal RNA
Source: RNAcentral